RNAcentral lists this ribosomal RNA (245 nucleotides) under uncultured bacterium. Its description in RNAcentral is "partial 16S ribosomal RNA". It matches the Rfam family "Bacterial small subunit ribosomal RNA", at positions 113 to 353 of the family's 1533-position model. The record is from RNAcentral.
AUGUCUGGGAAACUAGCCUGAUGGAGGGGGAGUAACUACUGGAAACGGUAAGCUAAUACCGCAUAACGUCGCAAGACCAAAGAGGGGGACCGUUCGGGCCUCCUUGCCAUCAGAUGUGCCCAGAUGGGAUUAGCUAGUAGGUGGGGUAACGGCUCACCUAGGCGACGAUCCCUAGCUGGUCUGAGAGGAUGACCAGCCACACUGGAACUGAGACACGGUCCAGACUCCUACCGGGAGGCAGCAUG